AACGAACGCUGGCGGCGUGCUUAACACAUGCAAGUCGAACGCGAAAGGGACUUCGGUCCUGAGUAGAGUGGCGCACGGGUGAGUAACGCGUAGAUAAUCUGUCCUUGUGUCUGGAAUAAUACGUCGAAAGGUGUACUAAUACCGGAUAUUCUUGCUUUUCAUACGAGAGGUAAGCAAAGGUGGCCUCUGAUUUAAGCUACUGCAUGGGGAGGAGUCUGCGUACCAUUAGCUAGUAGGUGGGGUAAAGGCCUACCUAGGCUUCGAUGGUUAACGGGUCUGAGAGGAUGAUCCGUCACACUGGCACUGGAACACGGGCCAGACUCCUACGGGAGGCAGCAGUGAGGAAUAUUGCGCAAUGGGGGCAACCCUGACGCAGCGACGCCGCGUGAGUGAGGAAGGCCUUCGGGUCGUAAAGCUCUGUCAAAGGGAAAGAAGUGCAUGGUGGUUAAUACCCAUCAUGUUUGACGGUACCCUUAAAGGAAGCACCGGCUAACUCCGUGCCAGCCGCCGCCGUAAUAC
Molecule: ribosomal RNA, 519 nt
Filed under: uncultured bacterium
Lineage: Bacteria
Description: bacterial SSU rRNA
Rfam family: Bacterial small subunit ribosomal RNA
Source: RNAcentral